Long non-coding RNA from Chelonia mydas (Green sea turtle), 1057 nucleotides. RefSeq lists it as uncharacterized. The record is from RefSeq and is a predicted model, not a curated record. The transcript is spliced from 3 exons. Lineage: Eukaryota; Metazoa; Chordata; Testudines; Cheloniidae.
GCAGUUGUGCUCUUAGGUUAAUGAAAAUGUAAUUUAUUAAACAAUCAUCACUCCUGCUCCUACCCUAAAAGCUGCAGUUCUGGCUGAGGGAGAAUUCCCUAGGUACAGGCAGUGAGGAUGACAGCCAUAAAGACUGACUUCUGAGGACGCCCUCCCAAGACUGAUGUGCAGGAGAGACUGGAAUUGUUGGGACUGCAUGUGUAUCCACCAGGGGAGUAUAUGCUCUGGGUAGAAAAGCUGGCCCAUUCCAAGGGACAACAACGUUGCCAAGGCACAUUUGAUAACAGUGAGGAUUUGCCUCCACAUCCUUGGCUAACGUUACUUCUCCUGUCCCUCUGCAGCGUGUUUCCGACCGUCUCCAUGGCUGCUACUCUCCACUGCAGAGCGGGUACAUUUCAGUGACACUUUAGUUCAUAACAUCCUUCGGAAUCCUUUGGCUGACAGGAACUAUAUAUAGUUGGAUACUUGAGUCCCUAGGAACAUAACUGUAGAGAUGAAGAGAGAUUCUUUUACACUAAUAGAAGAACUUGAACUCCCAGGUACUGGCAGUCCUUGACCUCAGAGCAGUUUGAGGAAUAAUGUAUUCCUGCUGUUACAUUUGAGGGAAGCAGUUUGUGGGGCUUAGUGUAGAAAAGGGAGUUGCUGAAGAAUUAUAGAUUAAAGAGCUGAUAUCUGCAUUAAUAAUCUGUGCUGAUUCCAUGCUCUGCAGGAGAGAAUGCCAACACAAGUUUGCCAACUUAACAAGUUCAGAUAAGAUUUGGAAAAAGCUUUGAUCCUUUGGGUGCUUAUCUGAACCAAGCUGCUACACCACUGGAGGUUUGCCCGGGAGUAUUGAAUAUGCACCUGCAAUUGAAAUCACAGCUGGACAUCUAUGGGAAUGCCUCUGCCUUUCACAUCUGGAUGUCAGCUGUUCCAACCUCUAUCUUACUGCCAGGUCUCCUGAACUCUAGAAAACUUCCAUUCUGGCAGUUAAUAGCAUGAAGCGUUCCUCCUGAAAGAUAGGGUUCUUCAAAUGGACUUCAGCUUUUGCCUGCCAUGCCCUUGUUUGUGCCUUACU